RNAcentral lists this long non-coding RNA (202 nucleotides) under Anser brachyrhynchus (Pink-footed goose). Its description in RNAcentral is "lncRNA (ENSABRG00000022222.1)". The record is from RNAcentral. Lineage: Eukaryota; Metazoa; Chordata; Aves; Anseriformes; Anatidae.
AUUCACCUUCACAAGGAGCUUCUUUUGAUGGUGGAAAUAGCUCAUUUGUUGUCUCCAUGGCUAUAGAAUAAGACAGAAGGGAGUGAAAACUUGGGAAACAGCCAGCAAUUGAAGCAGGCGCUCACCCGAAAUCUCUCAAGCAGAUACAAUCCAAUUUAAAGGAAGAAAGCCUGAGACACAAAAAUCAGGGGCAUCAGUGAAA